Molecule: ribosomal RNA, 505 nt
Filed under: uncultured bacterium
Lineage: Bacteria
Description: partial 16S ribosomal RNA
Rfam family: Bacterial small subunit ribosomal RNA
Source: RNAcentral
GACGAACGCUGGCGGCGUGCCUAACACAUGCAAGUAGAACGCACAGUUUAUACCGUAGCUUGCUACACGAUAAACGGAGGGUUGCGUACCGCGGAGGAACCCUUCCCUAACCUGCCUGGUAGCGGGGGGAAACUAGUGGUAACAAUAGCUAAUACCGCAUGCUACUUGUUGUUGCAUGGUAAUUUAUUGAAGUUUGCUAUUGCAUCACUACCAGACGGACCGGCGUUGUAUUAGCUAGUAGGCGAGGUUACGGCUCACCUAGGCGACGAUACGUAGCCGACCUGCGAUGGUGAGCGGCCACACUGGGACGGAGACCCGGCCCAGACGCCUACGGGAGGCAGCAGGAGGGAUUCUGGGGCAAUGGGUGGAAGUUUGACCGAGCAACGCCGCGGGAGUGAGGAAGGUUGUCGGAUCGGAAAGCUCGGUUGUAAGAGAAGAACGGGUGUGAGAGUGGAAAGUUCACAGUGUGACGGUAUCUGAUCAGAAAGGGACGGCUAACUACGUG